GGAGCGCCGCAGCCGCCGCGGCCAAUCCGGCGGCAGGUGGGGCCGCACCUGCGCGACAGCCCGCCGCUUCCCUCCGCUCCCUUCGCCGCGCCUCGCGUGCUAGCGGUGCCCUUGUGAGCCACUGCGUUCUCCAAGGCCAGAACGGGACAGUUGACGAUGGUCGUACUUCUCCAUGUUCUGAGACCAGUUUAAACAAAAACAAAAACCAGACAACAACCUUGCAAGGGAAAGAAUUCAGAGUAAAUAAACAGUCUUUUUCUGGGAAGUAAAAUAUUUCCCUAAGAUGGAGAAAUUGAGAUGAGAGCUCAUCCACAAGAUUACCCAUCAAUGAGCACCAAUAGCAACCAAAUCCACUAGAAGACUGGGAGCUUUUAAGUCAAGAAACUUACAUCAGUAUCAUCAUUCCAAGAAGCGGUAUCCAAGCUGUUUUAUCGAAAGUGCGCAUGGGAGAUAAGACUCUGAGAAUUUAUAGAAACAAACAUUAGAAGGCAGGAAUGUGGAGAGAAGAAAGCUACCUGACAAGGGAAUCUCAGGAUACAAGGAAAACACCAAGGAUGUGAGAAUGUCUUCGCUGCAUUAUUAUUUUUCAGCAUUGCCUCUGCUGACUUCAUGGGAGGAAUGGUGUUUCUUCUUCUCUCCCAUGUCAUGGAAGACACUCCUGAUGGCAUGUCUGUAGGUCUGUAGGAAAGAAUAAUCACCUCAGUAGCUUAGUGUGUGUAUGUGUGUGUGUGUGUCUGACACACUGUAGGUACAUAAUAAAGAUUUGAAAAUAUGAGUUUUUUUUAAUCCAAGCAGUGCCAUGUGUUUACUUGGAUUAGUAAUUGUACCAAUCUACAUUUUAAAGGUAAAACUAGCCAUUCAUUCUUUUGUUUCAGCAGUUGCCUAAUUUUAUUGUUUAAGUAUAAUGUGAGUGAAGGAAACUUCCUAGUUAGAAAUCUAUGAAUAUUAACUUCUUGUCUUCACUAACCAGAGUUGUUCUCAACUCAUAACACGUGGUUUGGUAAACCAUUUGCAAUGUAAACAUAGCAGAUUUUACUUGUAGUUUCAUAAUUUAGGCAGGUUGGCUCUGUAUUAUUUCUAGAAUCACAGGUAUCUGGAUGAAGAAUCACCAUUUUGUCAUUAGAGAUUACAACAAAUGUAGUUUAUUCUUUUUACCGGUAAUAUCAAUGUAAGCAAAAAUUAUACUUUUUAGCUAAGCAUGUUAUCUUCCCAGACUGGAGGAGUUAUUAUCUUCCAUAUUUUCUCUAUCUUCCACUAUACAAAGGGAAAAUAGAUUGGAAUUGUACUGGCCAUUGCUUUGUAAAGAGAAUAUAAAUAGCAAUAAAACAUAAAGAAAAUGACUGACACGUGAAUUUUAUCGAAUUUAAAAAAUUUUGUUUAGGCCAAGCCACAGAGUGGGCGAAGAUCUAGGAAAACAUAUAUUCGACUGUUAAAGAAAAAGAUAUUUAUAGCAUUUGUUAAAGAUGGUAAGGCAGACUUUAUCUAGAGGGACUAUCACAAUGAGGUUUUGCAGUAGGAGUGAGAGAUUGGGCUUACUCUAAUACAAGGAAAAAAGAAAAUUCAUAGCUAAGGACCAAGGUGGGUGUCACUAGAUGUACAAACUCUAGGAGUAAACAUAAAAGCUGAUAGGGAAUUCUGACUAAACUGGGUUGACAGAAUUUUUGCAGAAGGGAGGCCAGGUGAUAAGAUAUUGAGAGUGGGAGAUAAGGAAUUUGAUUAGAUAUAAUAAGUGGAGGAUUUAUAUACUUGACUUAGGAGAAUUUUUGCUAAAACUGGACUAAGAGGUCUUAGGACAGAUCCUCAAGACAGAGCCUAGACAGAAAGAGGACUCAAAGGAGGCUGACGUAAGUUUGGUCAAAAGAGAGAGUCUUUGUCAUGAUAAAUUGUCUAAAUUACACUUUAGAAAAAUUUUCUAAAAAUUGAAAAGAAAAAGAUAGACUAACCUAAUUUAAUAAUUGGGCAAGAGACUUAAACAGUCAUUUCACA
Molecule: long non-coding RNA, 1986 nt
Filed under: Homo sapiens (human)
Lineage: Eukaryota; Metazoa; Chordata; Mammalia; Primates; Hominidae
Description: lymphatic endothelial transcriptional regulator lncRNA 1
Source: RNAcentral